RNAcentral lists this transfer RNA (59 nucleotides) under Cochlostyla marinduquensis. RNAcentral's name for it is "tRNA-Ser". Lineage: Eukaryota; Metazoa; Mollusca; Gastropoda; Stylommatophora; Camaenidae. The record is from RNAcentral.
AUGUAAUUCAUUAAGGAUUUUGAAAAUCUUUUGUAAGUGUUAAUAUACACUAUUACAUU